Molecule: ribosomal RNA, 1235 nt
Filed under: Staphylococcus aureus
Lineage: Bacteria; Bacillati; Bacillota; Bacilli; Caryophanales; Staphylococcaceae
Description: partial 23S ribosomal RNA
Rfam family: Bacterial large subunit ribosomal RNA
Source: RNAcentral
UAAGGGCGCACGGUGGAUGCCUUGGCACUAGAAGCCGAUGAAGGACGUUACUAACGACGAUAUGCUUUGGGGAGCUGUAAGUAAGCUUUGAUCCAGAGAUUUCCGAAUGGGGAAACCCAGCAUGAGUUAUGUCAUGUUAUCGAUAUGUGAAUACAUAGCAUAUCAGAAGGCACACCCGGAGAACUGAAACAUCUUAGUACCCGGAGGAAGAGAAAGAAAAUUCGAUUCCCUUAGUAGCGGCGAGCGAAACGGGAAGAGCCCAAACCAACAAGCUUGCUUGUUGGGGUUGUAGGACACUCUAUACGGAGUUACAAAGGACGACAUUAGACGAAUCAUCUGGAAAGAUGAAUCAAAGAAGGUAAUAAUCCUGUAGUCGAAAAUGUUGUCUCUCUUGAGUGGAUCCUGAGUACGACGGAGCACGUGAAAUUCCGUCGGAAUCUGGGAGGACCAUCUCCUAAGGCUAAAUACUCUCUAGUGACCGAUAGUGAACCAGUACCGUGAGGGAAAGGUGAAAAGCACCCCGGAAGGGGAGUGAAAUAGAACCUGAAACCGUGUGCUUACAAGUAGUCAGAGCCCGUUAAUGGGUGAUGGCGUGCCUUUUGUAGAAUGAACCGGCGAGUUACGAUUUGAUGCAAGGUUAAGCAGUAAAUGUGGAGCCGUAGCGAAAGCGAGUCUGAAUAGGGCGUUUAGUAUUUGGUCGUAGACCCGAAACCAGGUGAUCUACCCUUGGUCAGGUUGAAGUUCAGGUAACACUGAAUGGAGGACCGAACCGACUUACGUUGAAAAGUGAGCGGAUGAACUGAGGGUAGCGGAGAAAUUCCAAUCGAACCUGGAGAUAGCUGGUUCUCUCCGAAAUAGCUUUAGGGCUAGCCUCAAGUGAUGAUUAUUGGAGGUAGAGCACUGUUUGGACGAGGGGCCCCUCUCGGGUUACCGAAUUCAGACAAACUCCGAAUGCCAAUUAAUUUAAUUUGGGAGUCAGAACAUGGGUGAUAAGGUCCGUGUUCGAAAGGGAAACAGCCCAGACCACCAGCUAAGGUCCCAAAAUAUAUGUUAAGUGGAAAAGGAUGUGGCGUUGCCCAGACAACUAGGAUGUUGGCUUAGAAGCAGCCAUCAUUUAAAGAGUGCGUAAUAGCUCACUAGUCGAGUGACACUGCGCCGAAAAUGUACCGGGGCUAAACAUAUUACCGAAGCUGUGGAUUGUCCUUUGGACAAUGGUAGGAGAGCGUUCUAAGGGC